GGGUUGUGAGGUUAAGCGACUAAGCGUACACGGUGGAUGCCCUGGCAGUCAGAGGCGAUGAAGGACGUGCUAAUCUGCGAUAAGCGUCGGUAAGGUGAUAUGAACCGUUAUAACCGGCGAUUUCCGAAUGGGGAAACCCAGUGUGAUUCGUCACACUAUCAUUAACUGAAUCCAUAGGUUAAUGAGGCGAACCGGGGGAACUGAAACAUCUAAGUACCCCGAGGAAAAGAAAUCAACCGAGAUUCCCCCAGUAGCGGCGAGCGAACGGGGAGCAGCCCAGAGCCUGAAUCAGUGUGUGUGUUAGUGGAAGCGUCUGGAAAGGCGCGCGAUACAGGGUGACAGCCCCGUACACAAAAAUGCACAUACUGUGACUGCGUACCUUUUGUAUAAUGGGUCAGCGACUUAUAUUCUGUAGCAAGGUUAACCGAAUAGGGGAGCCGAAGGGAAACCGAGUCUUAACUGGGCGUUAAGUUGCAGGGUAUAGACCCGAAACCCGGUGAUCUAGCCAUGGGCAGGUUGAAGGUUGGGUAACACUAACUGGAGGACCGAACCGACUAAUGUUGAAAAAUUAGCGGAUGACUUGUGGCUGGGGGUGAAAGGCCAAUCAAACCGGGAGAUAGCUGGUUCUCCCCGAAAGCUAUUUAGGUAGCGCCUCGUGAAUUCAUCUCCGGGGGUAGAGCACUGUUUCGGCAAGGGGGUCAUCCCGACUUACCAACCCGAUGCAAACUGCGAAUACCGGAGAAUGUUAUCACGGGAGACACACGGCGGGUGCUAACGUCCGUCGUGAAGAGGGAAACAACCCAGACCGCCAGCUAAGGUCCCAAAGUCAUGGUUAAGUGGGAAACGAUGUGGGAAGGCCCAGACAGCCAGGAUGUUGGCUUAGAAGCAGCCAUCAUUUAAAGAAAGCGUAAUAGCUCACUGGUCGAGUCGGCCUGCGCGGAAGAUGUAACGGGGCUAAACCAUGCACCGAAGCUGCGGCAGCGACGCUUAUGCGUUGUUGGGUAGGGGAGCGUUCUGUAAGCCUGUGAAGGUGUGCUGUGAGGCAUGCUGGAGGUAUCAGAAGUGCGAAUGCUGACAUAAGUAACGAUAAAGCGGGUGAAAAGCCCGCUCGCCGGAAGACCAAGGGUUCCUGUCCAACGUUAAUCGGGGCAGGGUGAGUCGACCCCUAAGGCGAGGCCGAAAGGCGUAGUCGAUGGGAAACAGGUUAAUAUUCCUGUACUUGGUGUUACUGCGAAGGGGGGACGGAGAAGGCUAUGUUGGCCGGGCGACGGUUGUCCCGGUUUAAGCGUGUAGGCUGGUUUUCCAGGCAAAUCCGGAAAAUCAAGGCUGAGGCGUGAUGACGAGGCACUACGGUGCUGAAGCAACAAAUGCCCUGCUUCCAGGAAAAGCCUCUAAGCAUCAGGUAACAUCAAAUCGUACCCCAAACCGACACAGGUGGUCAGGUAGAGAAUACCAAGGCGCUUGAGAGAACUCGGGUGAAGGAACUAGGCAAAAUGGUGCCGUAACUUCGGGAGAAGGCACGCUGAUAUGUAGGUGAAGUCCCUCGCGGAUGGAGCUGAAAUCAGUCGAAGAUACCAGCUGGCUGCAACUGUUUAUUAAAAACACAGCACUGUGCAAACACGAAAGUGGACGUAUACGGUGUGACGCCUGCCCGGUGCCGGAAGGUUAAUUGAUGGGGUCAGCGCAAGCGAAGCUCUUGAUCGAAGCCCCGGUAAACGGCGGCCGUAACUAUAACGGUCCUAAGGUAGCGAAAUUCCUUGUCGGGUAAGUUCCGACCUGCACGAAUGGCGUAAUGAUGGCCAGGCUGUCUCCACCCGAGACUCAGUGAAAUUGAACUCGCUGUGAAGAUGCAGUGUACCCGCGGCAAGACGGAAAGACCCCGUGAACCUUUACUAUAGCUUGACACUGAACAUUGAGCCUUGAUGUGUAGGAUAGGUGGGAGGCUUUGAAGUGUGGACGCCAGUCUGCAUGGAGCCGACCUUGAAAUACCACCCUUUAAUGUUUGAUGUUCUAACGUUGACCCGUAAUCCGGGUUGCGGACAGUGUCUGGUGGGUAGUUUGACUGGGGCGGUCUCCUCCUAAAGAGUAACGGAGGAGCACGAAGGUUGGCUAAUCCUGGUCGGACAUCAGGAGGUUAGUGCAAUGGCAUAAGCCAGCUUGACUGCGAGCGUGACGGCGCGAGCAGGUGCGAAAGCAGGUCAUAGUGAUCCGGUGGUUCUGAAUGGAAGGGCCAUCGCUCAACGGAUAAAAGGUACUCCGGGGAUAACAGGCUGAUACCGCCCAAGAGUUCAUAUCGACGGCGGUGUUUGGCACCUCGAUGUCGGCUCAUCACAUCCUGGGGCUGAAGUAGGUCCCAAGGGUAUGGCUGUUCGCCAUUUAAAGUGGUACGCGAGCUGGGUUUAGAACGUCGUGAGACAGUUCGGUCCCUAUCUGCCGUGGGCGCUGGAGAACUGAGGGGGGCUGCUCCUAGUACGAGAGGACCGGAGUGGACGCAUCACUGGUGUUCGGGUUGUCAUGCCAAUGGCACUGCCCGGUAGCUAAAUGCGGAAGAGAUAAGUGCUGAAAGCAUCUAAGCACGAAACUUGCCCCGAGAUGAGUUCUCCCUGACUCCUUGAGAGUCCUGAAGGAACGUUGAAGACGACGACGUUGAUAGGCCGGGUGUGUAAGCGCAGCGAUGCGUUGAGCUAACCGGUACUAAUGAACCGUGAGGCUUAACCUUACAACGCCGAAGGUGUUU
This 2737-nucleotide ribosomal RNA is filed under the name Escherichia coli. RNAcentral's name for it is "bacterial LSU rRNA". It matches the Rfam family "Bacterial large subunit ribosomal RNA". Lineage: Bacteria; Pseudomonadati; Pseudomonadota; Gammaproteobacteria; Enterobacterales; Enterobacteriaceae. The record is from RNAcentral.